GACGAACGCUGGCGGCGUGCUUAACACAUGCAAGUCGAACGGAGCACCCUUGAAUGAGACUUCGGUCAAAGGAAAGGAAUGCUUAGUGGCGGACUGGUGAGUAACGCGUGAGGAACCUGCCUUUCAGAGGGGGACAACAGCUGGAAACGGCUGCUAAUACCGCAUGACGCAUUCGGAUGGCAUCAUCUGAAUGCCAAAGAUUUAUCGCUGAAAGAUGGCCUCGCGUCUGAUUAGAUAGUUGGCGGGGUAACGGCCCACCAAGUCGACGAUCAGUAGCCGGACUGAGAGGUUGACCGGCCACAUUGGGACUGAGAUACGGCCCAGACUCCUACGGGAGGCAGCAGUGGGGAAUAUUGGGCAAUGGGCGCAAGCCUGACCCAGCAACGCCGCGUGAAGGAAGAAGGCUUUCGGUUGUAAACUUCUUUUAAGAGGGAAGAGCAGAAGACGGUACCUCUUGAUAAGCCACGGCUAACUACGUGCCAGCAGCCGCGG
RNAcentral lists this ribosomal RNA (492 nucleotides) under uncultured bacterium. RNAcentral's name for it is "bacterial SSU rRNA". It matches the Rfam family "Bacterial small subunit ribosomal RNA", at positions 28 to 520 of the family's 1533-position model. The record is from RNAcentral.